UGAUCCGUGAUAAGGAGCUAAGCUCAAAUUUGGGUGUUGGCUGGUCCUGGAGGCAGAGGGUGGCCAAGAAGAUGGCUCCGAAGGUUGCCACUGGAAAAAAAGGGUUGGAGGGUAGUCGGAGGCUGGUAGAAGGGGCGUCCUCCAGUCAGUUCAUCCAAACACCGCUGGAGCAAGAGACAGAUCGUCCAGACCGCAGGGCGCACUGCCUCCGCGUUCUACUUUUGAUGGGCGUUUGUGGUGUUUUCUGUUGGAGCCUGUUGCCGUGCUUCUGUGAGUCAGUGUGUAUGUGUGUAUGUUUUUCUUCAAAUUUUUUAAGUUCCAGUUAACGUAUAGUGUCAUAUUCAUUUCAGCUGUAGGAUUUAGUGAUUCAUUACCAAAAUACAACAUGAAGUGCUCAGCACAGCAAGUGUCCUCAUUAAUACCAAUCAUCCAUUUAACCCAUCCCCCCACCCGUGGAUAUGUAUUUUGCUGUGGAUUAGUGUCUUGUUUAACUUUUGGAUAUUUGUGAUGUGAAAAUUUCCCUUCUCCAUUAUUUCUCUCCUCUUAUUCUGGGGCACCAGCUAAAUAUGAGUUAGGCCUUGUCGUUGUAGCUCUGUGCUUCCUCUGUAUUUUCCAUGGAUUUUGUCUGUUUUUGGCUGAUUUAUCAGUAUUUUUCUAGUAAUUCUAUCUUUAGUUGUGUUUAUCUACUAUUAAAACUAUACAUUGAAUUUUUAUUUCAUUUAUUAUAUUAACAAUUUUUGCAAUAUCUACUUAGUUCCUUUCUAAACUUAGUCUGUCACUUUUUAGAAACCUCUUUCCCAACCAUAUUUUCCAGCUUGGAUUUCAUUUCUACUACAAAUAUGGAGCUCCAAUUAAUUUCAGUAGCUGAAAUUUCUAUGGUUUGGUUCAUGCUGUUUAUUUUUUUUAUUUUUUUAUUUUUAAGAUUUUAUUUAUUUGACAGAGAUAGAGACAGCCAGCGAGAGAGGGAACACAAGCAGGGGGAGUGGGAGAGGAAGAAGCAGGCUCAUAGCGGAGGAGCCCAAUGUGGGGCUCGAUCCCAGAACACCGGGAUCACGCCCUGAGCCGAAGGCAGACGCCCAACGACUGCGCCACCCAGGCGCCCCUGGUUUGUGCUGUUUAUUAAUUCAGAUUAUUCUCACUUAUAUUUUCUUAUCUGUGUAUGAUCUAGACAUUGAUUUUUUUAAGAAGCUAUUUGUCAUUCUUGUCUUUAAAGAUCACAAUACAAAACAGGAGGUAAAUUUUAUCAAAAUACAGCAUAUCUCUUCAUAUAUCCACAAAAAUAAAUUUCUAUGAACAUUUUUUAUGUGAAUACA
RNAcentral lists this long non-coding RNA (1313 nucleotides) under Ursus maritimus (polar bear). Its description in RNAcentral is "lncRNA (ENSUMAG00000012986.1)". Lineage: Eukaryota; Metazoa; Chordata; Mammalia; Carnivora; Ursidae. The record is from RNAcentral.